ACUCCUACGGGAGGCAGCAGUGGGGAAUAUUGGACAAUGGGCGCAAGCCUGAUCCAGCCAUGCCGCGUGAGUGAUGAAGGCCUUAGGGUUGUAAAGCUCUUUUAGCAGGGAAGAUAAUGACGGUACCUGCAGAAAAAGCCCCGGCUAACUUCGUGCCAGCAGCCGCGGUAAUACGAAGGGGGCUAGCGUUGCUCGGAAUUACUGGGCGUAAAGCGCACGUAGGCGGCUUCUUAAGUCGAUGGUGAAAUCCUGGAGCUCAACUCCAGAACUGCCUUCGAAACUGGGAAGCUCGAGUUCGGGAGAGGUGAGUGGAACUGCGAGUGUAGCGGUGAAAUGCGUAGAGAUC
RNAcentral lists this ribosomal RNA (346 nucleotides) under uncultured bacterium. RNAcentral's name for it is "bacterial SSU rRNA". It matches the Rfam family "Bacterial small subunit ribosomal RNA", at positions 335 to 698 of the family's 1533-position model. The record is from RNAcentral.